Aedes albopictus (Asian tiger mosquito) is the source of this 1127-nucleotide long non-coding RNA. RefSeq lists it as uncharacterized. The transcript is spliced from 3 exons. The record is from RefSeq and is a predicted model, not a curated record. NCBI's taxonomy places the organism in Eukaryota, Metazoa, Arthropoda, Insecta, Diptera, Culicidae.
UAGAAAAUUACAGUUUGUCUGAAACUCCAAACAAUAAAUGACUUUUAUCUGUUGAGGUAACUGUGUGACAAACAGUGGCUUUGAUGUUGAAGAAUAUGAAAUUCAAUUAGUUUGACUGUAAAUCAUAGUAUUUUUAAUCCAUAUUAAGUAGUAACACUAUAUUAUAUUGUACAGACAUUGUUCAACGGUAUGAGUUGUUUGGUAUGGUGGCAAUAUGAAAUCACCCUCUGACAAACGGUUUGUUCUUCUUUGAAGUUUCACACAUACACGCGUGCAUUUCACCACAAAUUACUGAUGUUGAACAGUAUGACAAAUUGUUGCAUGCAUCGGUAUAUGUGAGUGAAUGAAAAUUGACCGUGCGUGUCAGUUUUCAUAACAAAAAAAAUUGAGAAAGCAUCGAAAACAAACGCAAUUCAGUUCUUGUUUUAGGCUUUGUUAACAUAAAUCAAUCGUCGCAGAGAAUCGGUCAUCGUAUCCAAGGCGGCGUACGGUUAGUUGCCAAUGCUUUCUACCCGGAGGAGUUCACGUCUUCGAUAUUGGUGGGCAGCUGUCGAACCUGACGGUAUUGCUUCGCAGGUAGUGGAACUUGCAUCCCCAUCAUCCUAAAUGUGUCCGCGGAACUGUUUGUUCAUCCACGCCAUGUUCUGGAGCGGUUUCGGAGUUCUACUAAGGCGACGGUACUUCCACCGCUGGUAUCGCCAAAGUGCAGAUCAACUCACCAUUGAUUCGAGGUUGAAAUCAUCUUUGUUACAACCAGAGGUGUAGCUGCUCAAAACUUACCUUCUGCAUACGUAUUGUAUCAGCCAAGAGCUCAGCGCUCAAGUUCUUCCAGAAGCAUCCCGGAUGUUUUUCUGCUAACCGAAGUAUGCAAGCUAGGAAACAUCAAACGAUGAUGUUGAAAAAGCAGUAGGCGACUGUGAGAAAAUACUUUUUUUUGCAUGAUUUUGUCCUUUGGAUGUUUGUUUUUGAAAAUAAAUAGACAUAGGAGAAAAACUAGUUGUUUUUUAUUACCAUGAAUAAGAAAAUUGCCAAUUAUUACAACUGUAUGAAAACUAUUUACCAAAAGGCAAUGGAACCAUAAUGCACUGUAAAGCAAUAAUUACACAAACAGUGCUUAUUUUUGUUCC